This 76-nucleotide non-coding RNA is filed under the name Ruminococcus flavefaciens. Lineage: Bacteria; Bacillati; Bacillota; Clostridia; Eubacteriales; Oscillospiraceae. The record is from RNAcentral.
UGUCUGAAACUGAGGGAAGUACGGUGAAAAUCCGUCGCAGCAGUCACUGCCGUAUAGUCGGAUCGCUCGUCAGACA